GGCGCGUCCAGCUCUGGGCCAGGGGGUCCAAAGUGCUCAGCCCCCGGGGCACAGCAGGACGUUUGGGGGCCUUCUUUCAGCAGGGGACAGCCCGAUUGGGGACAAUGGCGUCUCUUGGCCACAUCUUGGUUUUCUGUGUGAGUCUCAUCACCAUGGCCAAGGCAGAAAGUCCAAAGGAGCAAGACCCGUUCACUUAUGACUACCAGUCCCUGCGGAUCGGAGGCCUCAUCAUUGCCGGGAUCCUCUUCAUCCUGGGCAUCCUCAUUGUGCUCAGCAGAAGAUGCCGGUGCAAGUUCAACCAGCAGCAGAGGACUGGGGAACCCGAUGAAGAGGAGGGAACUUUCCGCAGCUCCAUCCGCCGUCUGUCCACCCGCAGGCGGUAGAAACACCUGGCGCGAUGGAAUCCGGCCAGGACUCCCCUGGCACCUGACGUCUCCCACGCUCCACCUGCGCGCCCACUGCCCCCUCCGCCGCCCCUUCCCCAGCCCUGCCCCGGCAGACUCCCCCUGCCGCCCAGACUUCCAAUAAAACCUGCUGCAGCGCGCCUUCGCCGCCAAAGCAUCCAGCAGCCCCCUGCUCCGGCCCAGCAUGGCGACCCCGACCCAGACCCCCACAAA
RNA transcript from Cercocebus atys (sooty mangabey), 617 nucleotides. It is a transcript of the gene named FXYD domain containing ion transport regulator 1, with no coding region annotated. The record is from RefSeq and is a predicted model, not a curated record. The transcript is spliced from 9 exons. Lineage: Eukaryota; Metazoa; Chordata; Mammalia; Primates; Cercopithecidae.